CCUACGGGAGGCAGCAGUGGGGAAUAUUGGGCAAUGGGCGCAAGCCUGACCCAGCAACGCCGCGUGAAGGAAGAAGGCUUUCGGGUUGUAAACUUCUUUUCUCAGGGACGAAACAAGCGACGCUACCUGAGGAAUAAGCCACGCCUAACUACGUGCCAGCGGCCGUAGUAAUACGUAAGUGGCAAGCGUUCUCCGGAUUUACUGGGUGUAAAGGGCGAGUAGGCGGGAAAGCAAGUCAGAUGUGAAAACCAUGGGCUCAACCUGUGGCCUGCAUUUGAAACUGUUUGUCUUGAGUACUGGAGAGGCAGACGGAAUUCCUAGUGUAGCGGUGAAAUGCGUAGAUAUUAGGAGGAACACCAGUGGCGAAGGCGGUCUGCUGGACAGCAACUGACGCUGAGGCGCGAAAGCGUGGGGAGCAAACAGGAUUAGAUACCCGAGUAGUC
This 443-nucleotide ribosomal RNA is filed under the name uncultured bacterium. Its description in RNAcentral is "partial 16S ribosomal RNA". It matches the Rfam family "Bacterial small subunit ribosomal RNA", at positions 338 to 795 of the family's 1533-position model. The record is from RNAcentral.